RNAcentral lists this ribosomal RNA (320 nucleotides) under uncultured Prevotella sp. RNAcentral describes it as "partial 16S ribosomal RNA". Lineage: Bacteria; Pseudomonadati; Bacteroidota; Bacteroidia; Bacteroidales; Prevotellaceae. The record is from RNAcentral.
GGAGUCUGGACCGUGUCUCAGUUCCAGUGUGGGGGACCUUCCUCUCAGAACCCCUAUCCAUCGCCGGCCAGGUGGGCCGUUACCCCGCCUGCUGCCUAAUGGAACGCAUCCCCAUCCCAUAGCGGUGAACCUUUGUUCCAAAUUAGAUGCCUGCUUCGGAAAACAUAGGGUAUUAAUCCGCAUUUCUACGGGCUAUGCCCUACUAUGGGGAAGGUUGGAUACGCGUUACUCACCCGUGCGCCGGUCGCCAUCGACAAUAGCAAGCUAUCGUCAUGCUGCCCCUCGACUUGCAUGUGUUAAGCCUGUAGCUAGCGUUCAUC